RNAcentral lists this ribosomal RNA (490 nucleotides) under uncultured bacterium. Its description in RNAcentral is "partial 16S ribosomal RNA". It matches the Rfam family "Bacterial small subunit ribosomal RNA", at positions 30 to 507 of the family's 1533-position model. The record is from RNAcentral.
AUUGAACGCUGGCGGCAGGCCUAACACAUGCAAGUCGAACGGUAACAGGGAUCAGCUUGCUGAUUCGCUGACGAGUGGCGGACGGGUGAGUAAUGUCUGGGAAACUGCCUGAUGGAGGGGGAUAACUACUGGAAACGGUAGCUAAUACCGCAUAACGUCGCAAGACCAAAGAGGGGGACCUUCGGGCCUCUUGCCAUCGGAUGUGCCCAGAUGGGAUUAGCUAGUAGGUGGGGGAACGGCUCACCUAGGCGACGAUCCCUAGCUGGUCUGAGAGGAUGACCAGCCACACUGGAACUGAGACACGGUCCAGACUCCUACGGGAGGCAGCAGUGGGGAAUAUUGCACAAUGGGCGCAAGCCUGAUGCAGCCAUGCCGCGUGUAUGAAGAAGGCCUUCGGGUUGUAAAGUACUUUCAGCGGGGAGGAAGGGAGUAAAGUUAAUACCUUUGCUCAUUGACGUUACCCGCAGAAGAAGCACCGGCUAACUCCGUG